GCGGGGUCGGCCGGCCGCCUUCGCUGCUCCGCCGCGGCUCUCAGCGCCGCUCAGCGCGGCGGGCCCGCCCGGGCUCAGGUGCCCCCCGCUCUCCGGACCUUCUCGCCCGGCCCCGCGUCCCCUCCGCGGGCUUCCCCCGGCGGCCGGCCGGGCUCGGAGGCUCGCGGCCGGAGCGGAGCGGAGUGCGCACGCCGGGGUGGCAGGACUUCGGCAAGACCAACUUUCCGUGGUCCUGUCUGGUGUGAACCGUCAGCACAGAUGGCCUCCUGGAGCUUCCCCGAGUCGUUCGCUGGGGGAAGCGGGCGGUGAGCGGCCAGCCCGGGCGCUCCGCAGGCCGCGAGCUCCCGGCAGGGCUGGUGGCGGGGGUCCGCCUGGGGGAGGAAUCCCCGCCUGCUCCAUCGGACCCGGCCUGGCGCGGCUCGCGGCGCUCGGCGGGCUCCCUUCCAUUCUAGAAUCUUCCCGCUUGCUUCCCAGCCCGCGUUCUUCCGCCUGCCUUUAAUUGUAAUUUACAGGAUUAAGGAGUUUGGGGAAGUCGCAGAGCUGCAGCGGAAAGGCAGGGGUCUGAGACUACUUUUGAGAAGAGAAACAACGCAAAACGAUCGCUGGAGGGCCAGAGCCCUGGUCGAAGAAGCAGACACAGGUUCCCACGGCGUCUGACGCCUGCGGAGCAAGUCCAGAGCCAGCUGGACUCGCAGCCUCUGGCCCGGCGGCACCAACUCCUCACUGGGUCAUUUUGAGCGCGCUGUGCCCACCUUUUCUGUUGCGUGUGGACGUGGGGAGGAUCUUCUAAGUCCCUCCAACGAAGGCAAGUGUGAGACUCUGGCCCUUUAUUUGUAAGAAGCAAGCCUUCAGAUUGCAGAAGUGUCGCGCGGGUCGCCGUGCGUUGCGCGAGUGGGAAGAUGGAGGAGGCCGGCACGCUGCUUUCGUGGACGCAAGUGAACCGGGCGUGAAGGCAGGGUGCGAGCUCUGCCCUUGGCCCAGCCCUGCGUGGGCGCCGUCCCAGAUUCCGGGCGGUGCGGGGUGCAGAGAUCUGGAGAGACUUGCGGGCUCCCCAGCGCAGGCUGCUCUGGGAUUUCGUUGGAAGAUCCGGCAGAGCCUUGGAGGAGAGGGCCCGGGAGGCUGUGUGUGCAGCGGAAACUUGUACGAAUGCCCCCACAGCGGAAAUGGUGCGCACGAGUAAUUUCUGCGGUGCACCCUUUUAAAAAUUGACAAGUGAACAAGAUCAAUUUUUUAAGAAAGCAAAGGUAGAAAACAAAAGGCGUGCGACUUCUUGACUGGCUUGUUCCCGCCUUUCUUCCUUCUCUAUACUCAGAUCAGAAACUUUUCUUUAAUUGCUCUUAUUCAGUGCGACAACUUUUAAUAAAAGCAUUUGCAUUUUAAGCCUGAGUUGCAACCAUAGAUUUAUUGCGAAGUGACAACGUGUCUAUGGAAUAUUUUCGCAGAUGAGACAGGACAUGCGCUCUAGUCGUGCCCAGAUUAAAGCGACGCUGGGCCAUGUGCCUGUGUAGUGCAGACUCGGAGGGGCACACACAUACUCGUCACCACAUGACCACUGUCUAUUAAUAUUGUCAUACCUAAACACUCGCAAAAACAAAAGUUGCUUUUCUUCCCUGUAAUUAAAUCUAAUUUG
This 1630-nucleotide long non-coding RNA is filed under the name Homo sapiens (human). Its description in RNAcentral is "HSALNT0253723". The record is from RNAcentral. Lineage: Eukaryota; Metazoa; Chordata; Mammalia; Primates; Hominidae.